This is a long non-coding RNA of Rhopalosiphum padi (bird cherry-oat aphid), 1790 nucleotides long. RefSeq lists it as uncharacterized. Lineage: Eukaryota; Metazoa; Arthropoda; Insecta; Hemiptera; Aphididae. The record is from RefSeq and is a predicted model, not a curated record. The transcript has 3 exons.
AAACAAUUACAAUACCUACGCUCCGGGCGGCGGACGCUCCGGCGUACUGCGUUUGCCUUUUAAAUUUUUGUGCUUCGCCGCCAUUAAGGCGACGUAGCGUUGUCGGCUUCGGGCAAUGUACGAGAUCUAUCUUCACAGACAUCGUUGUUGACCGCUGUCCGCUUUUGCGGACUGCGAUACAGUCUUCACUAUUGUUUAUUUUGCUACUCGCCGGCUACUAUAAACUUGUUUUUAUUUUUCCAAGUCAUUUCUUAAUCCACUCGUCCGAACAGGCGACGACGGCCCUUCGUAUUCGCCAUCGAAUCUAAUCACUUUAGCGAUCUAUAACAUUUUAAUAUCGAAAUCAUCGCUUCCCGUGGAAGCAUAGACUGGUAGACUGUGUUUCGUUUAUUCUAUCGAAUCGACGACGCGGCUCGAGAAAUAUUUUUUUACACAGUUGAUGACAAGUUACUGGUUUACUGACAUUUAAGACGGUGCUUCUAACAGCAUGAUAAGCUUCUCUGAACACUACUACCUUGCCAUUACCAUAAAGACUUGGAAGCUCCAAGGUGGAGUUGAAAAAAUUACUUCAAUGAUUCAAGGUAUUUUUGUUUGGCCAUGAAUUUAACAAAAGUAUUCAUACUCCAUAAAAAUUCAGAAGAUGAAGAAAAUCAAUAAAGUGAAAGAAAUAUUAUUCAGAUUUAAAGUUCAAAAUAUAUAAAGCGUUUGAUAGAGAAAUGUGAUAGGCGUUUAGAUGUACGAUAAGUAGAAAACUUUGGCAGAGAAAAACGGUAAAGAGUUGAAAAAUACUUAUGUCUAGUUAUAAAGGUGAAAAAAAUUAUUAGAUAAAUGUAAACAAUAAAAGCACAAAAAUGAUUAAAACAAUAAAUGGAAAAUUCCAAGUAAAAAUUCAACAUUCACAGCACCUUAACCAUGUUAGAUAAUUUAUAGAAAAAGUACUUCUUUUUGUUGUAUAAAUAUUCUUCUAUAUUUCAUAAAAGAUAGGAAUCAUUGUGUAUUUAUAUAUUUAUAUCUAUUUAUGUUUGAGAAUUUUAUGCUAAAAUUGUAACUAAAUCAAUUAUAUACAUUCCAUUUUUAAUGAAGAAAGAUAAUAAAUUGUUAGAAAUUAAUUACAAGUUGCACAAUUUCAUAGAAUGAAGUAUAUAAAAAAAAAGAUUUCAAUAUUUUGAUAGUUUACUCAAUUAAUAGAGAUUAAAAUAAAAUAAAAAUCAUAGCCUCAUUAUUCUUAAAUAUUAAUAGUCUAUCAUUAGUUGAUUUUCUUCAUUAAAUUUGGAAUGUGUGCAUUAGUUUUAUUUGUAUUUAUGAUUGCACCUUAAUUGGAAAAUAAAUAUAAUUUAUAUCAUAAUUCAAAGCUAUUGUGAAAUGUAAAACACUUGUAAAAAAAAAAGUAAUUAACUGCUUUAUAAAUAAUUUUAUUGUGGUUUAGUUUUAAUUAUCAAACUUUUAUUUGGAAUUUGUCCUUAUAUUAAAUUAGUUAUAAUUUGUGUUGCUUGAAUGUUGUUUGUUUUGUUUAUUUAUUAUAACAUUGAUGUAAGUCUUUCAACUUUCUAUUGAGUUUCUUUGUCAGAGUUUUCUAGUUGUUUAUAUCUAAUCUUGUUACUUAUUUUUUGUCUUAUUCUAUAUAAUUGUAUAAUUUUUAUACUAUCAAUAUCUUAUUAUUAUUAGAUCUCUCCCUAUCAUGUAUAUCAUUCAAUAAUACCACACAUUUUUAAGUUGGAAUAUCAUACAAAUAUAUUUAUAUUUGUUUGUAAUAAAAUUAUGUUGAAAUAAUAAAAACACUUUAUUUAAAA